RNAcentral lists this ribosomal RNA (301 nucleotides) under uncultured bacterium. RNAcentral describes it as "partial 16S ribosomal RNA". It matches the Rfam family "Bacterial small subunit ribosomal RNA", at positions 509 to 807 of the family's 1533-position model. The record is from RNAcentral.
CAGCCGCCACGGGAAUACGUAGGGUGCAAGCGUUAAUCGGAAUUACUGGGCGUAAAGCGUGCGCAGGCGGUUUUGUAAGACAGAGGUGAAAUCCCCGGGCUCAACCUGGGAACUGCCUUUGUGACUGCAAGGCUAGAGUACGGCAGAGGGGGAUGGAAUUCCGCGUGUAGCAGUGAAAUGCGUAGAUAUGCGGAGGAACACCGAUGGCGAAGGCAAUCCCCUGGGCCUGUACUGACGCUCAUGCACGAAAGCGUGGGGAGCAAACAGGAUUAGAUACCCCAGUAGUCCCUGUCUCUUAUAC